AUUGAACGCUGGCGGCAUGCCUUACACAUGCAAGUCGAACGGCAGCGGGGGAGAAGCUUGCUUUUCCUGCCGGCGAGUGGCGAACGGGUGAGUAAUACAUCGGAACGUGCCCUGUAGUGGGGGAUAACUAGUCGAAAGAUUAGCUAAUACCGCAUACGACCUGAGGGUGAAAGUGGGGGACCGCAAGGCCUUAUGCUAUGGGAACGGCCGAUGUCUGAUUAGCUAGUUGGUGGGGUAAAGGCCUACCAAGGCGACGAUCAGUAGCUGGUCUGAGAGGACGAUCAGCCACACUGGGACUGAGACACGGCCCAGACUCCUACGGGAGGCAGCAGUGGGGAAUUUUGGACAAUGGGCGAAAGCCUGAUCCAGCAAUGCCGCGUGUGUGAAGAAGGCCUUCGGGUUGUAAAGCACUUUUGUCCGGAAAGAAAUGGCUCUGGUUAAUACCUGGGGUCGAUGACGGUACCGGAAGAAUAAGGACCGGCUAACUACGUGCCAGCCGCCGCGGUAA
Molecule: ribosomal RNA, 508 nt
Filed under: uncultured bacterium
Lineage: Bacteria
Description: partial 16S ribosomal RNA
Rfam family: Bacterial small subunit ribosomal RNA
Source: RNAcentral